GCCGCCNUGGNGGCCGCGGGANUUCGAUUACGGCUCAGUAACACGUGGACAACCUACCCUUGGGUCUGGCAUAAUCCUGGGAAACUGGGGAUAAUUCCGGAUAGGCCACAGAUGCUGGAAUGCGCUGUGGCCGAAAGCUCCGGCGCCCAAGGAUGGGUCUGCGGCCUAUCAGGGUUGUAGUGGGUGUAAUGUACCUACUAGCCUACGACGGGUACGGGUUGUGAGAGCAAGAGCCCGGAGAUGGAUUCUGAGACACGAAUCCAGGCCCUACGGGGUGCAGCAGGCGCGAAAACUUUACAAUGCGGGAAACCGUGAUAAGGGAAUCUCGAGUGCCAGCAUAUAAUGUUGGCUGUCCAGAUGCCUAAAAAGCAUCUGUUAGCAAGGGCCGGGCAAGACCGGUGCCAGCCGCCGCGGUAACACCGGCGGCCCGAGUGGUAACCGCUAUUAUUGGGUCUAAAGGGUCUGUAGCCGGCCAGGUAAGUCCCUUGGGAAAUCUGGCAGCUCAACUGUCAGGCUGCUAGGGGAUACUGUUUGGCUUGGGACCGGGAGAGGUGAGAGGUACCUUGGGGGUAGGGGUGAAAUCUUGUGAUCCUCGGGGGACCACCAGUGGCGAAGGCGUCUCACCAGAACGGGUCCGACGGUAAGGGACGAAAGCUAGGGGCACGAACCGGAUUAGAUACCCGGGUAGUCCUAGCCGUAAACGAUGCUCGCUAGGUGUCAGUCACGGUGCGACCGUGAUUGGUGCCGUAGGGAAGCCGUGAAGCGAGCCACCUGGGAAGUAUGGCCGCAAGGCUGAAACUUAAAGGAAUUGGCGGGGGAGCACUACAACGGGUGGAGCCUGCGGUUUAAUUGGAUUCAACGCCGGAAAUCUCACCGGGGGCGACAGCGAUAUGNAAGGUCAGGCUGAAGACCUUACCGGAUUANCUGANAGGUGGUGCAUGGCCGUCGUCAGUUCGUACUGNGAAGCAUCCUGUUA
RNAcentral lists this ribosomal RNA (976 nucleotides) under uncultured Methanosaeta sp. RNAcentral's name for it is "bacterial SSU rRNA". It matches the Rfam family "Archaeal small subunit ribosomal RNA", at positions 53 to 1031 of the family's 1478-position model. Lineage: Archaea; Methanobacteriati; Methanobacteriota; Methanomicrobia; Methanotrichales; Methanotrichaceae. The record is from RNAcentral.